GAGGCAUUCAGGGGACGAGGGGUUGGC
RNAcentral lists this small RNA (27 nucleotides) under Bombyx mori (domestic silkworm). RNAcentral's name for it is "ovarian small RNA-15904". The record is from RNAcentral. Lineage: Eukaryota; Metazoa; Arthropoda; Insecta; Lepidoptera; Bombycidae.